AAAGAAUUAGUUUAUUAAAACAUCAGAAUGUCAAACUGAAAAUAUCAACUUAGAUAUUCUUUG
This 63-nucleotide transfer RNA is filed under the name Acanthaspis pedestris. RNAcentral describes it as "tRNA-Asp". The record is from RNAcentral. Lineage: Eukaryota; Metazoa; Arthropoda; Insecta; Hemiptera; Reduviidae.